RNAcentral lists this long non-coding RNA (1284 nucleotides) under Canis lupus familiaris (dog). Its description in RNAcentral is "lncRNA (ENSCAFG00040018625.1)". Lineage: Eukaryota; Metazoa; Chordata; Mammalia; Carnivora; Canidae. The record is from RNAcentral.
CUCCCCUGUGGCCCCGCCCCCGCCGCUCAGGCCCCGCCCAGGCCCUGCCACCGCCGCUCCAGGGCCCGCCCUUCCCCGGGCCCUGCCUCGCCUCCAUCAGCCGCGGGGCUCGCCCUAGGCCGCGCCCCCGCCCAGGCCCCGCCCAGGCCGCCAGCCCGCCUCUUGCCCGGCCCCCUGUGGUCCCACCCCCUCUCCCCGCCCCUGCCCCGCCCUGCCCCGCCGAGACCCCGCCCCCUUCGCCUGUGGCCCCGCCUCACCCCGGGAGCCGCCUCGAGCCUGGCCCCGCCCCCGGCCGGUGCCUCACACGCCCAAGACCCGCCCUGCCUUCCGCCACGCCCCCGUCGUCAUUGGUCCCGCCUCGCCGCCCCGCCCCGCCCCGUGACGCUAAUUGGUCUCUUUCCUGAGAGCGUCCGGCGCCCCGAUUGGCCUCCGCCGUCGCGGUUCCUGCGUUGGAUUGGGCCGCCGCGCCCGCUUUCGCGAGGCGCCGCUCUGGGGCGGGGGGCGGGGCCAGCGGCGGCGGGAGGCGCGGGAUUGGUCGGCGGCGCAGGGGGGGCGGGUCCGCGCCGCGCGCAGCGCCUCGGCUGGAGCGCGAGGAGCAGCUGCCGCCGCCUCCGGCGUCUCGGACUCGGUGGCCUCGGGCUCCGUCGCCGCUCGGUCGCCCCGUCGUCACCCGCCUUCCCCCGCGGCCGCGGCCGCACCCCGGGCUCCGGCCGGGCCAGCCGGCGGGCACGCCCUCCUCCGCGGACAGGUGAGUGGCCGCGGGCGGGGCGGGGCGGGGCGGGGCGGGGGGCUCUGGCCCGGGUCCUGGGGUCGCGCGGGGUCAGGGGCCGGGGCGGGGGGCGGGGCCGGGGGUGGGCUCGGGCGUCAGGUGGGCGGACACCUGCGGGCUCCGCGCGGCGCUGCGGGCCGACCCCUCGGUGCACGUGCGCUCCGCCCGCCCCGGAGUGUGUCGCUGGUGCAGGUGCGGGGAGCCGCGCCCCAGGUGACCUGCCCCGGGCAGCGGGGACCUCGCGCCUCGGGACUCAGAGCCCGGAGACCCCCGCCCCCCCCGCAGGACCCCGCGUUCAGCGGUGGGCGGCGACCCCCAGCGCCCCCGGGCGCCCCACUUGCAUCGUCCCAGGGGCGCCCCGGAGACGCCCGUUUUGGCCCAGGAGGCAGUCUGCACCUCGGGGGAUGGUGCACACGAGCCGGGGGGGACCUGCUGACCCUCAGGUCAGGGGCGCCGGGGGCAGCUGUGCUGAUUUCAGACUUGGGGGGGGUCUCGGGGGCAGGUGCACCUGCUGA